UUACAAUUGGUUAGUUAAAAAGAAAGCCAUAUUUCUGACAUAGAAAUUUAGAAAACGGGUUCAACUUGACCCAAAGACGACGCAAGGGUU
Molecule: long non-coding RNA, 90 nt
Organism: Etheostoma spectabile (orangethroat darter)
Lineage: Eukaryota; Metazoa; Chordata; Actinopteri; Perciformes; Percidae
Exons: 3
Source: RefSeq, a predicted model, not a curated record